Camelina sativa (false flax) is the source of this 753-nucleotide long non-coding RNA. RefSeq lists it as uncharacterized. The record is from RefSeq and is a predicted model, not a curated record. Lineage: Eukaryota; Viridiplantae; Streptophyta; Magnoliopsida; Brassicales; Brassicaceae.
UCUUCCUCUUCUCUUCCUCUAUAGCUUCUCUCUAUGUCCACGAUUUUUCAUUAGCUUCUCUCUAUGUCCACGAUUUUUCAUUAGCUUCUCUUCUUUGCCUUUGAGCUACCGUUCUCAUCUUAUCCCUCCCAUCUCCAGAUGAUUCGCCGAAGACCAAACCCAAGGCAAAAUCGGAUCAUUUGUAGCAAUUGGAGGAAGCGAAAUCACAAUACCACCACCGAAACUUACUUGUUCAUCGGAAUCAAACACACUCAGUAUCAUUCUGUGAUUGAUUUUGGUUUCCGUUUGUUAUUCCCAGGGACUGAUGCUGGUUCACUUUCUGGGUUUUCAGCCAAAGGUCUUUCUAAUUUGGAUUCUCCCCUUCUCUUCAGGAGCAAGUGAUUAGAGUAGCUGAAACGGAGACAUCACAUGUUGUUCAACAAAAAACUGCUUCUUGCUUGUGUUUGAUAACUGUCAAGAAGGAAGACAAGCUUGAGUUCAGGAAGAUCCUUGAGGUAUGGCAAUUGUUAUUGGUCUCUGCAUAUGCGUUAUGACUCUAUGAAGAAAUAGAGAGUUCACACAAAGCCAAAGACUCUAAGGUGAUCUGCUGAUGGAAUGGCGUUGGCUGUUAAAUGGUAUGAGUUGGAGAUCUACUAGAGCUGCUUCGGUUUCUUUAUGACUUGGUUUGGUGAAGAAAUGUACUUGCCUUUUUUUUUAUGACUUGGUUGGUGAUUCAAGCAUUUGUAUUUUUUGGGUAUUUGAUAGAAUGAUUCU